Molecule: small RNA, 102 nt
Filed under: Serratia fonticola
Lineage: Bacteria; Pseudomonadati; Pseudomonadota; Gammaproteobacteria; Enterobacterales; Yersiniaceae
Source: RNAcentral
CGGUUGAACAAACCUUGCAUAAAUGCCAACUUUUAGCGCACGGCUCUCUCCCAAGAGCCCUUUCCCUAGACCGAGUAUAGGAAUCGUACUCGGUCUUUUUUU